AGAGUUACUUGUGGAAGAACCUACUUUGGAGAGAGAGAGAAAUUCCUCUUGCAUCUGUCCUGGGGUGAAGAAGAAGAAAGAGAGAAUUUUUCUUUUCCUGUCCUUUUUUUUUUUAAAUGAUGGCGUCUUUCAGGGGAGCAAUUUGCCUAGCAGAAGGCACUGUAUACAACUGAGAGGAAGCACAGACAGAGAGUUUAGCUUUGGAGUUGAAUUGACCUGGAGAAGAGUAGAUCUUGGGAAACUCUGUGAAGCCAUCUGUCCAUGAAAGAUGUCAGACCCAACAUUAAGCAGCAUGAGAACAACAUAAGAAUUUAAGCAGUGGAAAUCUGGGUUUCUGGGUUACAGUUCUUGCAAUAUACUUGUGAGAGUUGCUUCUUCUAGACUCUGAGUCAUGAAAUUCCAACCACUUGGCCAACUUGAAAUUCCCUGAGAUCUGAUUCUGAAGUUCAGCACCAGAUGCUGCUGCCGCUGCCUACAACUUAUUACUCUCCUCUCUUCAUCUGGACUCCAUUGGGCAGGGUCAGCUAUAUGCUCCUUGUCAGCCUGAAGCAGUUCCAGAAGAUGAGACCUUUGUCCCUUUUUCCCAAAUGAGUCUGGAUCUGGACUACUUGAGGUGACAAUGGACCCAAGGUCCCCGGACCUCCACAGUGCUGCAGUUCUAUGGCUGCCAGAUACCAAUUUGUUCUGUGAGAGGAUGGAUUACAGUUAGUACUGAAGAGGGACCAGCCUGAAGGCCUAGGUCACAGAGAUACCCUAGUGGAAAAUGUAUAUAUUGGGGUGAGAAAUCUUCAAACUGGUGAAAAAGAAGGGGGACUGAAUGGGACUGAUUGGAUGAAGUAUUUCUCAGUAUUGAGUCACAUGAUCCCUGUUCCCAGAGUUGGGUCCUUGGGAGGGGUCAUAUUUCUGGAGGGAAGAACUUUGAACCCUGGGAUACAGGAAGUUACAGGAAGUGACCUGACCUGUGGGAGGCAGCCAACAUUGGUGACCAUUGGUCAAGGAUGGUUAUGUCCUUUUAGUCUCCCCAGUGAGAAGGCUCAGGUCUUUUGCGUUUAAGUCUUGAACAAGCAGGAAGCUGGCCAGGUUCCAGGAGCACAUGGUGGAGUUGGGAUGGCUCCCAAGUGUGUCUGGGUCUCUCUCUGCAGGGAUUAAAUAGAUGCUUUCUUUUUGUACCUGAUGCUGCCUCUGAUUAGUUAACUGGGAAGGGGGUCUUGCACCUGACCUGUCCCAGAAAUAUAUACACACACACACACACACAUUUAAAAAAGACUCACAUCAACAAUAGGGUAGCUCAAAAGAAAGAUUGGCAGAGUUAAGUUUAAAAAUAGCAAUCAUGUUACACAAAUGAGGUGCAGAUGAAGAAUAGACUCAGAGGCAUGGAGGGAGGAGAGGAGAGCUCAUAGUUUUGAAAAUCUACUCACAUCAGGAGUGGGUUGAAUAGGUAACACUACACAUAUACCAUGAAGGGUAGAGCACCCUCCAAAAUCUUUUAAGAAAUAAGGGGGAAGCAAUGGACAGAUAGGAAAGCAAAGGGUAAGGGAAAAAGACAAGAGAGGGAUCCUUGGGUGGAGGGAUGUUAAGGAAGAGCAAGAUAAGUUAUGGAGCAGAAUUUAAUUACAGAGGCAGCAAGGAUAGGAAAGACGUGUGUGUGUGUGUGUGUGUGUGUGUGAGUGUAUGUUUCUAACUAUCUAUAUAUGUAUAUAUAAAUAUAUCUUUUCUUAAAUGUAGCUUGCUUGGGAGUAGUGAGGAGGAUAAAAGGAAGAAAAACAGUAAAUAAGGUGUGCAGAAGAGAACAAGGAACAAUUUAUAAGGAAGUAAAGAAAAAAUGAAUAUAAUUUCUUCUAGUAUAUAUAUGUAUACUAUAUAUACAUAUAUAUAUAUAUAUAUAUAUAUAUAUAUAUAUAUAUAUAUAUAAUGUGUGUGUGUGUGUGUGUGUGUGUGUGUGUGUGUGUAUGUAUGUGUUUUUCCUUGACCUGGUAAUUUGUUGUUAAUAUUUUGAAUCCUCCCUGAUGUUCUGCUGGACAUAUGACAAUAUUCUCUUUUGUUUUGCUUUAUUUUGUUUUCUUUUUUCUUACUUUUUUUUUCAAAUAAAAGCCAAAAAAAAAAUCUUUUGAUAUUGUCAACUGAACUAAAUUGACCUCUAACCUGUGGAUGGCUGAAGCUGAACAGAGAAGACUAGAGAAUAGAGUCAGAAAUGAAAGAGAAGUUUAAUUUCAACGUGAAGGAAAUGACUUUCAAGUAAAGAUACAUGCACUAGGACCCCAUCCCUACUUGGGGAACUUGAGGCAUUGUGGAGAGGUCUCAAUACUUAUACCAGUGGUUACUUAGUGAGCUGUAAUCCUGGAAAU
RNAcentral lists this long non-coding RNA (2345 nucleotides) under Sarcophilus harrisii (Tasmanian devil). RNAcentral describes it as "lncRNA (ENSSHAG00000024496.1)". The record is from RNAcentral. Lineage: Eukaryota; Metazoa; Chordata; Mammalia; Dasyuromorphia; Dasyuridae.